AUACGUAGGGGGCGAGCGUUGUCCGGAUUUACUGGGCGUAAAGGGUGAGUAGGCGGUUGUAUAUGUCAGGUGUAAAAGGCUAUGGCUUAACCAUGGUUAGCACUUGAAACUGCAUAACUUGAGUGCAGGAGAGGUAAGUGGAAUUCCUAGUGUAGCGGUGAAAUGCGUAGAUAUUAGGAGGAACACCAGUGGCGAAGGCGACUUACUGGACUGUAACUGACACUGAGGCACGAAAGCGUGGGGAGC
This 246-nucleotide ribosomal RNA is filed under the name uncultured bacterium. RNAcentral's name for it is "partial 16S ribosomal RNA". It matches the Rfam family "Bacterial small subunit ribosomal RNA", at positions 523 to 769 of the family's 1533-position model. The record is from RNAcentral.